AUACAUCGGCGGACAGCAACAGUUUAAACAAGUCCAGAUUUGAAUCUUUACUCUCAGUCUUACUGCGAUUAGUCCGUGAAGUCUUGAAACAAGAUGAAGACGAGUAUUCUAUCCGCCAUCUUUCUUGUCAUGGUACUGGCCUCCAGUGUCUACCAAACUACUGCCGUCAGUGCCAGUCGUUUGUCGCGCAGUGCUGAAUCUCAUGGCGAUCCAGAUGUCCAGGAGGAAGACAAGUCUACGGACAAAAGAUGCAAGUGGAAUCCAAUCUACUGUUUUGACGACUAAUGUCACUCGUGUUUCUGACGUCACCAUCAAUGCUGCGCUGAAGUGUCACAAGAUCAACAACUCAACAUCAAGAUAUUUGAAUAUCAGAAGAAACAAUGAAAAGACCAUAUCAAAAUAUGAAAAAGGGUUUUCUUAGGAAGUAGUUAAAUUAACUAUUUGCGUUCCAUGUUUUGGGAAAUACUUUCUUCUUCGAUCAGAAGUUUCUACAUUACAAAAUACAAAUGAUUAUAUUGACAGUAUGAAUGAUGAAUCAUUAAAAAAUCUAUAUGUCAAAUAGCGCAAAGCAGUUGGUGAAAGAAUUAAACAAAAACGUUAAAAACGA
Long non-coding RNA from Strongylocentrotus purpuratus (purple sea urchin), 607 nucleotides. RefSeq lists it as uncharacterized. The record is from RefSeq and is a predicted model, not a curated record. NCBI's taxonomy places the organism in Eukaryota, Metazoa, Echinodermata, Echinoidea, Camarodonta, Strongylocentrotidae. The transcript is spliced from 3 exons.